AUGAAAAACAAAAGACUUCUCAAUUGCGAGACGACGGUGGUUUGCAACUGGGACAACAACAAACUAUGGGCCCGUUUGCGAGUCGAGGGUGGACUUGCAACUGGGACAAAAAAGGUCGGAGCCCAGUUGCGAGUCAAGGUUGGACUUGCAACUGGGACAAAAAAAUGUUGCACCCUAGUUGCGAGUCGGGGGUGGACUUGCAACUACGACAAAACAAGUGUUGGACCCCUGUUGCAAGUCAGAGGGUGGACUUGCAACUCACACAAAAAAAGACCGGGACCUAGUUGCGAGUCAAGGCUGGACUUGCAACUAGGAUAA
RNAcentral lists this ribosomal RNA (318 nucleotides) under Triticum aestivum (bread wheat). RNAcentral describes it as "partial small subunit ribosomal RNA". The record is from RNAcentral. Lineage: Eukaryota; Viridiplantae; Streptophyta; Magnoliopsida; Poales; Poaceae.